AACGCUGGCGGCGUGCUUAACACAUGCAAGUCGAACGGAACUUAUCGGAUCAAGACUUCGGUCAAGUGAAUUUAAGUUUAGUGGCGGACGGGUGAGUAACGCGUGAGGAACCUGCCUUUCAGUGGGGGACAACAGUUGGAAACGACUGCUAAUACCGCAUAAUGUUAUUGAGUGGCAUCACUUAAUAACCAAAGCUUUAUGUGCUGAAAGAUGGCCUCGCGUCUGAUUAGCUAGUUGGUGGGGUAACGGCCCACCAAGGCGACGAUCAGUAGCCGGUCUGAGAGGAUGAACGGCCACAUUGGGACUGAGAUACGGCCCAGACUCCUACGGGAGGCAGCAGUGGGGAAUAUUGGGCAAUGGGGGAAACCCUGACCCAGCAACGCCGCGUGAAGGAAGAAGGCCUUCGGGUUGUAAACUUCUUUUAGCAGGGACGAAGAAUGUGACGGUACCUGCAGAAAAAGCAACGGCUAACUACGUG
Molecule: ribosomal RNA, 478 nt
Filed under: uncultured bacterium
Lineage: Bacteria
Description: bacterial SSU rRNA
Rfam family: Bacterial small subunit ribosomal RNA
Source: RNAcentral